This 960-nucleotide ribosomal RNA is filed under the name uncultured bacterium. RNAcentral describes it as "bacterial SSU rRNA". It matches the Rfam family "Bacterial small subunit ribosomal RNA", at positions 8 to 974 of the family's 1533-position model. The record is from RNAcentral.
AGAGUUUGAUCAUGGCUCAGAUUGAACGCUGGCGGCAGGCUUAACACAUGCAAGUCGAGCGGGGAAGAGUAGCUUGCUACUUAACUUAGCGGCGGACGGGUGAGUAAUACUUAGGAAUCUACCUAAUAGUGGGGGACAACAUCUCGAAAGGGAUGCUAAUACCGCAUACGCCCUACGGGGGAAAGCAGGGGACUCUUCGGAGCCUUGCGCUAAUAGAUGAGCCUAAGUCGGAUUAGCUAGUUGGUGGGGUAAAGGCCUACCAAGGCGACGAUCUGUAGCGGGUCUGAGAGGAUGAUCCGCCACACUGGGACUGAGACACGGCCCAGACUCCUACGGGAGGCAGCAGUGGGGAAUAUUGGACAAUGGGGGGAACCCUGAUCCAGCCAUGCCGCGUGUGUGAAGAAGGCCUUUUGGUUGUAAAGCACUUUAAGCGAGGAGGAGGCUCCCAGUAUUAAUACUACUGGAGAGUGGACGUUACUCGCAGAAUAAGCACCGGCUAACUCUGUGCCAGCAGCCGCGGUAAUACAGAGGGUGCAAGCGUUAAUCGGAUUUACUGGGCGUAAAGCGUGCGUAGGUGGCCAAUUAAGUCAAAUGUGAAAUCCCCGAGCUUAACUUGGGAAUUGCAUUCGAUACUGGUUGGCUAGAGUAUGGGAGAGGAUGGUAGAAUUCCAGGUGUAGCGGUGAAAUGCGUAGAGAUCUGGAGGAAUACCGAUGGCGAAAGCAGCCAUCUGGCCUAAUACUGACACUGAGGUACGAAAGCAUGGGGGGCAAACAGGAUUAGAUACCCUGGUAGUCCAUGCCGUAAACGAUGUCUACUAGCCGUUGGGGUCUUUGAGACUUUAGUGGCGCAGCUAACGCGAUAAGUAGACCGCCUGGGGAGUACGUCGCAAGACUAAACUCAAUGAUUGACGGGGCCCGCACAGCGUGAGCAUGUGUCUAUUCGAUGCACGCGAGACUUAC